This 488-nucleotide ribosomal RNA is filed under the name Streptococcus mutans. RNAcentral's name for it is "bacterial SSU rRNA". It matches the Rfam family "Bacterial small subunit ribosomal RNA", at positions 28 to 492 of the family's 1533-position model. The record is from RNAcentral. Lineage: Bacteria; Bacillati; Bacillota; Bacilli; Lactobacillales; Streptococcaceae.
GACGAACGCUGGCGGCGUGCCUAAUACAUGCAAGCGGGACGCAAGGGAACACACUGUGCUUGCACACCGUGUUUUCUUGAGUCGCGAACGGGUGAGUAACGCGUAGGUAACCUGCCUAUUAGCGGGGGAUAACUAUUGGAAACGAUAGCUAAUACCGCAUAAUAUUAAUUAUUGCAUGAUAAUUGAUUGAAAGAUGCAAGCGCAUCACUAGUAGAUGGACCUGCGUUGUAUUAGCUAGUUGGUAAGGUAAGAGCUUACCAAGGCGACGAUACAUAGCCGACCUGAGAGGGUGAUCGGCCACACUGGGACUGAGACACGGCCCAGACUCCUACGGGAGGCAGCAGUAGGGAAUCUUCGGCAAUGGACGAAAGUCUGACCGAGCAACGCCGCGUGAGUGAAGAAGGUUUUCGGAUCGUAAAGCUCUGUUGUAAGUCAAGAACGUGUGUGAGAGUGGAAAGUUCACACAGUGACGGAGCUACCAGAAAGGC